Molecule: ribosomal RNA, 516 nt
Filed under: uncultured bacterium
Lineage: Bacteria
Description: partial 16S ribosomal RNA
Rfam family: Bacterial small subunit ribosomal RNA
Source: RNAcentral
GAUGAACGCUGGCGGCGUGCCUAAUACAUGCAAGUCGAACGCAUUGAGAGAAGUGCUUGCACUUUUCAAUUUGAGCGGCGAACGGGUGAGUAACACGUGGGCAACCUACCUGAUAGCGGGGGAUAACGAGUGGAAACAUUCGCUAAUACCGCAUAACAAUAGAGAAGGCAUCUUCUUUAUUUAAAAGGCGCUUUCAAGCGUCACUAUCAGAUGGGCCCGCGGUGCAUUAGUUAGUUGGUGGGGUGAAGGCCUACCAAGACGAUGAUGCAUAGCCGAGUUGAGAGGCUGAUCGGCCACAUUGGGACUGAGACACGGCCCAAACUCCUACGGGAGGCUGCAGUAGGGAAUCUUCCACAAUGGACGAAAGUCUGAUGGAGCAACGCCGCGUGUGUGAUGAAGGCUUUCGGGUCGUAAAGCACUGUUGUAUGGGAAGAAAUGCUAGGCUAGGAAAUGAGCUUAGUUUGACGGUACCAUACCAGAAAGGGACGGCUAAAUACGUGCCAGCCGCCGCAGUAA